This 440-nucleotide ribosomal RNA is filed under the name uncultured bacterium. RNAcentral's name for it is "partial 16S ribosomal RNA". It matches the Rfam family "Bacterial small subunit ribosomal RNA", at positions 338 to 795 of the family's 1533-position model. The record is from RNAcentral.
CCUACGGGGGGCUUCAGUAGGGAAUAUUGCUCAAUGGGGGAAACCCUGAAGCAGCAACGCCGCGUGGAGGAUGAAGGUUUUCGGAUUGUAAACCUCUUUUGUUAGAGAAGAUAAUGACGGUAUCUAACGAAUAAGCACCGGCUAACUCCGUGCCAGCAGCCGCGGUAAUACGGAGGGUGCAAGCGUUACUCGGAAUCACUGGGCGUAAAGAGCGCGUAGGCGGGAUAGCAAGUCAGAUGUGAAAUCCUAUGGCUUAACCAUAGAACUGCAUUUGAAACUGUUAUUCUAGAGUAUAGGAGAGGUAGGUGGAAUUCUUGGUGUAGGGGUAGAAUCCGUAGAGAUCAAGAAGAAUACUCAUUGCGAAGGCGACCUGCUAGAACAUAACUGACGCUGAUGCGCGAAAGCGUGGGGAGCAAACAGGAUUAGAUACCCUAGUAGUC